RNA transcript from Pyrus x bretschneideri (Chinese white pear), 1420 nucleotides. RefSeq lists it as uncharacterized. The record is from RefSeq and is a predicted model, not a curated record. The transcript has 10 exons. NCBI's taxonomy places the organism in Eukaryota, Viridiplantae, Streptophyta, Magnoliopsida, Rosales, Rosaceae.
UCUAUUUUUGACAAUAGCACGCAGAGAGUUGUCGAGAGAUGUGGGUUCAGCCGCUUGCAGUGGUCAUGGCAGUCAAGCCGCGGAGCUCUCCUCACGGCGGCAGCCGCAGAGCUGCCUCUGUAGUUGCCCAGAAAUCCAAUAUUCCAUCUGUAGAUUCUGUGACUCAGCAACGGCCGAUACUCCCAAACUCCACUUCCAAAUCAACGACUCCAUCCUCCCAAAUGCAACCGCUGCUAUUUUCUUCUUCCUCUGCUAUUACUCCGUCCGUACGCACCGUCAAUGCUCUGCGGAUUCGACCCAUCGCCGAGUUGGGCCUCCUCUCUGUCCUCUUUGUCCUCUCCGCGGCUUUUGCGGCAGUUUUCUCCGUCGCCAUACUUUGCAUUCCUACGAUAAACGCUAUGAGAAGAUUGGCAGUUGCAGUGGGAAAACUAUCCAAUGUGGUGUCCCGGGAGGUGCCCGGAACGUUAUAUUCUCUCAAACUCUCCGGCGUUGAGAUCAACGACUUGGCCAAGCAGCUUGCUGCUCUCAGGAAAAGUACAAGGAAGAAGAGGAAUGAAGAAGAGUAAAGGAAGUACGGUGGAAGAAAUGAGCGAUGAGUGUGGAUGGAUUGACACACAUUAUGAAAGUUAAAAACCUUGUGUGAAAUGCUAGUCUACUGGGUUCAACUACAGCUUAAAAAACAAAUAGAAAAGGAAAAAAUAUUUACCUAUGUGAAUGAGCUGUGCGAGAAGCUUCCAAAUCCGCUAAAAAGGUCAUUCGUCAACUGUGAUAACAUUGCAUUCAUGCCGGAUAUUACAUUUACGAUCAGAAACAAAUCCUUCACCCUCUCUCCAGAACAGUACAUAAUUAAAGUAGAAGAAAAAUGCUCCACUGUCUGCCUUAGUGGAUUUACUGCUUUGGAUGUGCCUCCUCCACAAGGUCCUCUAUGGCUAUGAGAAGAUUGGCAGUUGCAGUGGGAAAACUAUCCAAUGCGGUGUCCCGGGAGGUGCCCAGAACGUUGUAUUCUCUCAAACUCUCCGGCGUUGAGAUCAACGACUUGGCCAAGCAGCUUGCUGCUCUCUGUACAUACUUAAAAGUAGAAGAAAAAUACUCCACUGUCUGCCUUAGUGGAUUUACUGCUUUGGAAGUGCCUCCUCCACAAGGUCCUCUAUGGCUAUGAGAAGAUUGGCAGUUGCAGUGGGAAAACUAUCCAAUGUGGUGUCCCAGGGGGUGCCCGGAACGUUGUAUUCUCUCAAACUCUCCAGCGUUGAGAUCAACGACUUGGCCUAGCAGCUUGCUGCUCUCAGGGAACAGAUUUCCACAACGGGUUUGGCAAGAAUUCAGAGUGACAAUUUGUUGUUUAAUCUCAAGUUGGUGUGUGUAUGUACGUGUGCUCUUGUAUUGAGUAUUUGCAAAUUUAAUAGAAGUUUCAAUUUUUUAA